UUAAUAAUUUAUUUUUAAGUAAUAUUUUGAUGUUAAUUAAUUAGAUAAUAUAAUUUUAAUUUCAAAUUAUAACUUUUAUUCCUCUUGUUCCAAUUUAACCAUCCAAACGCUAUUUAUCUUAUUCCUAGAAACAACUUAAUUUUUAUCCAAAUGCAAAAUUAGUCUAGUUCCUGCUUAGACCAGAACUUGUAUCUAUCUCUAGAACAAGCAGUUCUUACUUAUACCUGAACCAAACGCAGCCUAAAUAUUUUUUCACAAAUAACUCCUCUAAAAAAUAUAAUUGCAGAAAUGUCCCUCUUCCACGCUAAUCAGUAAGAAUUGUUAUUGUCAUAUGUAAGUUGAACACAAAAGUUUAAAAAAGAAUUGUUAUUGUGACUUAAUAAAAAAAUAAAUGCGAUAAUUCAAUUACGAUGCUGUGGAAUUGAACAUGGUAUAUGAAUUACG
RNAcentral lists this long non-coding RNA (444 nucleotides) under Ananas comosus (pineapple). RNAcentral's name for it is "long non-coding RNA (ACOM_LNC039318)". The record is from RNAcentral. Lineage: Eukaryota; Viridiplantae; Streptophyta; Magnoliopsida; Poales; Bromeliaceae.